This 329-nucleotide unclassified non-coding RNA is filed under the name soil metagenome. RNAcentral's name for it is "partial contains 5.8S ribosomal RNA, internal transcribed spacer 2, and large subunit ribosomal RNA". The stretch from base 1 to 120 matches the Rfam family "5.8S ribosomal RNA", at positions 35 to 154 of the family's 154-position model. The record is from RNAcentral.
GAUGAAGAACGCAGCGAAAUGCGAUACGUAAUGUGAAUUGCAGAUUUCAGUGAAUCAUCGAAUUUUUGAACGCACAUUGCGCCCGCCAGUAUUCUGGCGGGCAUGCCUGUUCGAGCGUCAUUUCAACCAUCAAGCCUUCGCUUGUGUUGGGGCCCCGCGGCUGCCGCGGUCCCCUAAAUCCAGUGGCGGGCUCGUCGUCGUACCGAGCGCAGUAGACAUCCUCGCUCCGGGAACCCGACGGGUGCCGGCCGUGAAACCCCCCACAUCAAGGUUGACCUCGGAUCAGGUAGGAAUACCCGCUGAACUUAAGCAUAUCAAUAAGCGGAGGA